Long non-coding RNA from Oncorhynchus tshawytscha (Chinook salmon), 708 nucleotides. NCBI's taxonomy places the organism in Eukaryota, Metazoa, Chordata, Actinopteri, Salmoniformes, Salmonidae. The record is from Ensembl.
UUUUAGAAUAAUGUUAAAAUAAUUCAAUAAGUCGUGGUUAUAAAGACUUACAACCUCCGCUUGAGUUGCAUGACAUUUGCAGUGAAAUAUUAGUCUUGCAUGAAUGAUCGUUUUCAAGUACAUGUUAGUUGUCAACAGCACUUGCGCAGGGGUCUCAUUGUAUUUCUGUCCCCAGGUAUUCCGAGUAAGUCCCUCUCUGGGUUUGAGAAAGGCAUCGGACUUGAGCUGAAUAAAGUCCUCUGGGUUUAAUCCAGUGAAAGGCCUUGAAGACUGCACAGGUAACUUAAGCCUGGCAGCCCCAUGUUUUGUUUGGGGUUUAACUGUCAGGAUUGCCACAAGGCUUUUCUUACACAAGAUAUGCCCAUCAGUUUGCUAUAAAUGAGGAUGUGUGUUCGCUCCAGCACUUAUGGAUAAUGGCACAUGGCUGCUUAAUGUCUGCAAGUCUCCAGAGAAAGAACAUGAGGCUUACAGUGCAUUCAACUUGAGAGGAUGAAGUAAAUGCACUGGUUCCUGACAAAGCAGCUUGGAGUAAAAGGAACUGAGUCGUAUUCUGGGAAAUGAUGCAGACAAUUACAUUGAUAGAAGGCACAAUCUGCAAUAUCAAAACUUAUCUUACCCCUAAAAUGAUAAUUGCUACAUUUCCUUGACUUUAUUUUUACCUUGUUUUACUUGUUUUUUUUGUGAUUGUAAAAUUGUAGUUGCCUCAGG